This 73-nucleotide transfer RNA is filed under the name uncultured Cytophagales bacterium. RNAcentral's name for it is "tRNA-Ser-GCT". It matches the Rfam family "tRNA". From Rfam's summary of the family: Transfer RNA (tRNA) molecules are approximately 80 nucleotides in length. Lineage: Bacteria; Pseudomonadati; Bacteroidota; Sphingobacteriia; Sphingobacteriales. The record is from RNAcentral.
AAGACCGUAGCUCAAAUGGAAGAGCACCGUCCUGCUAGGGCGGAGGUUGCCAGUUCGAUUCUGGCCGGUCUUG